This 448-nucleotide ribosomal RNA is filed under the name uncultured bacterium. Its description in RNAcentral is "bacterial SSU rRNA". It matches the Rfam family "Bacterial small subunit ribosomal RNA", at positions 28 to 524 of the family's 1533-position model. The record is from RNAcentral.
GACGAACGCUGGCGGCAGGCUUAACACAUGCAAGUCGAGCGCCUCGCAAGAGGAGCGGCAGACGGGUGAGUAACGCGUGGGAACGUGCCCUUCAGUUCGGAAUAGCUCCGGGAAACUGGAAUUAAUACCGGAUACGCCCCUAGGGGGAAAGAUUUAUCGCUGAAGGAUCGGCCCGCGUCAGAUUAGGUAGUUGGUGGGGUAAUGGCCUACCAAGCCGAUGAUCUGUAGGUGGUCUGAGAGGACGAUCACCCACACUGGGACUGAGACACGGCCCAGACUCCUACGGGAGGCAGCAGUGGGGAAUAUUGGACAAUGGGCGAAAGCCUGAUCCAGCCAUGCCGCGUGGAUGAAGAAGGCCCUAGGGUUGUAAAGUCCUUUCGGUGGUGAAGAUAAUGACGGUAACCACAUAAGAAGCCCCGGCUAAUUUCGUGCCAGCCGCCGCGGUAAU